Non-coding RNA from Dermacentor andersoni, 265 nucleotides. Lineage: Eukaryota; Metazoa; Arthropoda; Arachnida; Ixodida; Ixodidae. The record is from RefSeq and is a predicted model, not a curated record.
UUGAGAACGAGAGAUUCAUCAUCGAAUACUGCACAAAGCAACAUGAACCGUCAGUUUGGAGUGGACCUCUUGUCGGUCGCCGCAAUCGUAAUUGCUUUGAUCGUUAUGGCCCCGAAGGAAGCUCUUGCUAGCCUCGGAGGAGGCGUGGGAGGAAUCGGAGGCAUCCAAGGCGCGGGCAAGAAGUGAAUUUUCGUGCGUCCUGAAUCCAGCGACUCCACCUUUGUCACGGUCUGGAUGACCAGCUCGCCUGCAAUAAAAUGCCUGC